RNAcentral lists this ribosomal RNA (1028 nucleotides) under Brochothrix sp. S2. RNAcentral's name for it is "bacterial SSU rRNA". It matches the Rfam family "Bacterial small subunit ribosomal RNA", at positions 52 to 1063 of the family's 1533-position model. Lineage: Bacteria; Bacillati; Bacillota; Bacilli; Caryophanales; Listeriaceae. The record is from RNAcentral.
UAUAAUGCAGUCGAACGAACGGAUAAAGAGCUUGCUCUCCCGAAGUUAGUGGCGGACGGGUGAGUAACACGUGGGUAACCUGCCUCACAGCUGGGGAUAACAUCGAGACCUCGAUGCUAAUACCGAAUGUGCUGAACAUCAUAAGAUGUUCAAGUGAAAGACGGUUUCCCCUAGCACUGUGAGAUGGACCCGCGCUGGAUUAGCUAGUUGGUAAGGUAAUGGCUUACCAAGGCGACGAUCAAUAGCCGACCUGAGAGGGUGAUCGGCCAGAAUGGGACUGAGACACGGCCCAAACUCCUACGGGAGGCAGCAGUAGGGAAUCUUGCGCAAUGGACGAAAGUCUGAGCGAGCAACGCCGCGUGAGCGAAGAAGGCCUUCGGGUCGUAAAGCUCGCUUGUUAGAGCCAAAAAUCAGUGAGAGUAACUGUUCACCAAUUGACGGUAUCUCCCAAGAAAGCCACGCGUAACUACGUGCCAGCAGCCGCGGUCCUACGUAGGUGGCAAGCGUUGUCCGGAAUUAUUGGGCGUAAAGCGCGCGCAGGCGGUCUCUUAAGUCUGAUGUGAAAGCCCCCGGCUCAACCGGGGAGGGUCAUUGGAAACUGGGAGACUUGAGGACAGAAGAGGAGCGUGGAAUUCCAAGUGUAGCGGUGAAUCACGUAGAUAUCCCCCCGAACACCAGUGGCGAAGGCGGCUCUCUGGUCUGUUACUGACGCUGAGGCGCGAAAGCGUGGGGAGCAAACAGGAUUAGAUACCCUGGUAGUCCACGCCGUAACGAUGAGUGCUAAGUGUUAGGGGGUCCAAUUAGCUUAGUGCUGCAGUUAACGCAUUAAGCACUCCGCCUGGGGAGUACGACCGCAAGGUUGAAACUCAAAGGAAUUGACGGGGGCCCGCACAAGCGGUGGAGCAUGUGGUCCAAUUCGAAGCAACGCGAGAACCUUACCAGAUCUUGACAUCCUUUGACCAUUCUGGAGACAGAACCCUCAAGGCGGGGACAAGUGACAGGUGGUGCAUCCGUUGUCGUCAGCUCGU